UACGUAGGGUCCAAGCGUUAUCCGGAAUCACUGGGCGUAAAGCGUGCGUAGGUGGAUGUUUAAGUGAGUUGUUAAAUCGUGGGGCUCAACCCUGUCGAUGCAAUUCAUACUGGGCGUCUAGAGGACGGCAGAGGCAAGUGGAAUUACGAGUGUAGCAGUGAAAUGCGUAGAUAUUCGUAGGAACACCAAUGGCGAAGGCAGCUUGCUGGGCCACUCCUGACACUGAGGUACGAAAGCGUGGGGAGCGAACAGG
RNAcentral lists this ribosomal RNA (253 nucleotides) under uncultured bacterium. Its description in RNAcentral is "partial 16S ribosomal RNA". It matches the Rfam family "Bacterial small subunit ribosomal RNA", at positions 524 to 776 of the family's 1533-position model. The record is from RNAcentral.